Molecule: transfer RNA, 76 nt
Filed under: Clostridiaceae bacterium
Lineage: Bacteria; Bacillati; Bacillota; Clostridia; Eubacteriales; Clostridiaceae
Description: tRNA-Ile
Rfam family: tRNA
About the family: Transfer RNA (tRNA) molecules are approximately 80 nucleotides in length. Their secondary structure includes four short double-helical elements and three loops (D, anti-codon, and T loops). Further hydrogen bonds mediate the characteristic L-shaped molecular structure. tRNAs have two regions of fundamental functional importance: the anti-codon, which is responsible for specific mRNA codon recognition, and the 3' end, to which the tRNAs corresponding amino acid is attached (by aminoacyl-tRNA synthetases). tRNAs cope with the degeneracy of the genetic code in two manners: having more than one tRNA (with a specific anti-codon) for a particular amino acid; and 'wobble' base-pairing, i.e. permitting non-standard base-pairing at the 3rd anti-codon position.
Source: RNAcentral
CGGGAUGUAGCUCAGUUGGUAGAGCACACGACUGAUAAUCGUGCGGUCAGAAGUUCAAUUCUUCUCGUCCCGACCA